CAAGGACUCGGGUGAAACUCCCGGGUGGCUCUUCCGGCCGCCGAUCCGCCGGACAACG
This 58-nucleotide non-coding RNA is filed under the name Aliirhizobium cellulosilyticum. RNAcentral describes it as "Rhizobium cellulosilyticum sul1 RNA". It matches the Rfam family "sul1 RNA". Lineage: Bacteria; Pseudomonadati; Pseudomonadota; Alphaproteobacteria; Hyphomicrobiales; Rhizobiaceae. RNAcentral also lists the same sequence under 3 other names. The record is from Rfam by way of RNAcentral.